GGAAAGAGUUGGUGUCCAGACAGCAACAGAAAGGCUCCAGGUGGACUUCCUGCUCCUUCUCCAUUCCUCACAUGGAGAUUGCAGGAAUGGAUCCCAGGCUUCAGACAGGGCUGGCGGGCUCUAAGGACCAUCAGCAUCAGUCACAUUCUCAGAUGCUCACCAAGCUGCGCAAGUCCAGACCAUGGUAGACCCAACUUGCUGUCUCCUCUCCUCAGAAGCACAGGCCUCCUGUCAGUCCCUUAAUCUGGUCCCAGAGGAACAGCGCAGAGACUUCACUCUGGAUGACAAACGAGGAGGGGAGAGGCCUGCCCUGCCUGGACGCUGGCUUCCCCUUGGCAUCCUGGGCCUGCCUUCCCCACUGGUGUUCCAUCCCUAUGGUGUGACUCAAGCAGGGUGUGUGACAGCCUCCUGGGCCUUCUUCAGUCCCCUAGAAUAAGCAGUUUCAAUAAACAUCAUGAGUGAGCACUAAUUUUAUUUCCAGA
Molecule: long non-coding RNA, 482 nt
Organism: Mastomys coucha (southern multimammate mouse)
Lineage: Eukaryota; Metazoa; Chordata; Mammalia; Rodentia; Muridae
Exons: 4
Source: RefSeq, a predicted model, not a curated record